UAUAGAACAUAUGUUUAUAAGUAUAUAAAGAGAUCAUUUUGUGCAAAUAGCUGUGUUUUAGUGGGAGCAGUAAUGAUUUAUUUAAUAAAUAUUAACCCUAAGAGAAAUUUGAUAAAAAACGAAGCGAAUUGAAAUAUCUUAAUAGCUUUAGGAAAAGAAAUCAAAAGAGAUUCUAUGAUUAGUGUGAGCGAAAGUAGACAAGCCUAAAAAAAAGUAAAACAGAUUUAAAUCUUCUUGAACUUUAAGGGGAACCUUCCUCUAAGGCUAAAUAAUAAACAUAAGCGAUAGUGUAAUAGUACCGUGAGGGAAAUUUGUAAAAAGUUAUUUUAUAAGCAGUUCAAGCUAAAAAAAAGCAAGAACGUACCUUUUGCAUAAUGGGUCACCAAGUUAACUUUGGAUGCAAGUUAGCGCGUAGUUAAAACAAUCAUAAGUAAUGAUUAGUGUCUAAAGUUAGACCCGAAGCCUGGUGAUUUUACCACAAUCAGGAUUAUAAAAGUCCGAACGGUAUAUCGUUGCAAAGAUAUCCGAAGAAUUGUGGUAGGUAUGGUGAAAGACAACACUGACCAGGAAAGCUGGUUUUCUGCGAAACCUAUAAAAGUAGGCAAUUUUAGUUACAUCUUAGUAGGUACAGAACUUAAUCUCAGACAAAUAGUAUAUUUGUAUAUAUCGGGGGAUCGUGAAGAUUUUAUCGGUGAGUAUGUAGACUCGGAAUGACAAAGAUGAAUCUAAAAUAAUCAGACAUAGAGUGAUAAGGUUGUAUGUCAAAAGGGAAACAGCCCAGAACAAAAGUUAAGGUUCCAAAAUUAUAGUUGAGUGAAAUUAAGAAAGUUUCUAUUUAAGCCGACAAGGAGAUGGGCUUAGAAGCAGCCAUAAUUUAAUGACCUCGUAAUAGAGCACUUGUUAAACCUUUAGAAGCGUCGAAAAUUCAACGGAUCUAAACUAUAUACCGAAACUUUGUCCAUUUAUAUUAUUAUUAUAUAAUUGUAUAAUAAGGGGUAGCAGAACAUUGAAUUAACACUAGAAAUUCCUUUUUUAAAGGGAUCUGAAAGUAAUUCAAGAGAUAAUGGUGACAUUAGUAACAAUAAGAAGACAAUAAUACUAAAUAACAUGGUAAAAGUCUCCGCCUAAAGCUUAUGGUCCGUAAAAAGUAACGGCCUCUAAAUUGAAAAUCUAAUGGUUUUGAUGAUGAGUAAAUCUUUUUUUACUAAAGGACGACGUUUUAAAGUGAAAAGCGUACUGGAAAAAUAGUAAUAUAUCUAAAAAGAUGAAAAACAACCGUACCUGGAUUAACCGCAACAGGUAAGCUAGUAGAGAAUACGAAGGCGUAAAUGGGAUAACAAUCUUAAAGGAACUCGGCAAAUUUACUACGUAACUUCGGAAUAAGGAGGUCUCAUUAGUCUUGAUUAAUAUCAGGUAAAAAGGAAGAAGCAUGAAAUAAUGUUGUACGACUGUUUAAUUAAAACACAGCACUUUGCGUCAAAGAUUUAAAUCAAAGUAUAAAGUGUGAUGUCUGCCCGGUGCCGGCUGGUUAACAGAUAUAAUUAAAUUUUCUUAGGGAAUUUAGUGUUGACGGAACCCCCGGUUAAUGGCGGCCUUAACGUGAGGGUCCUAAGGUAGCGAAAUGCCUUGGCCGUUAAAUGCGGUCUUGCAUGAAUGAUGUAACGAUACAACAGCUGUCUCUAAGAUUGACCCAGUGAACUUGAAUUAGCAGUGUUUAUGUGUGGUUAUAUUAAUUAUAACCUUGCUGCGUAAGUGAAAAUCUUACUCUACAAAUCUACUUUUUUUAAAUUUUUCUUCGUUGUGUAUAUGCACACAUAAACCAGUCUAUUAGGUUGGAGAGUUGUUAAGCUAUGUAGCAGAGCAAUUAUACUUCCGAUAGGCUUAAUUAUUGAAACCAAAACUUUUUUUUUAUUUAGCACUACUAGAGUUCACUAGUAUAAAAGUGAAGCUAUUCAUAGUGUUACUCUUUUAUUUAUUUGUAAAUUUUAAGCUAAGUCUAUGAUGUAAAGUUUAGAUGUUAUACUAUAGCAGUCAUAUCUAAUAGGAGAGAGAACGCAAUUGGCCUUGAGGAGUUAAAACUUGACGAGGGGUAGAAACGCAUGCGACCUUGAAUAAAGGAAAUAGACGUAUAUUCGAUUAUAGUUAGCUAGUCCCGGAGGGACACGAAACUGUUGUAUAUCAACAAGACUAUUUUUGCUUAUAAGCCUCAACUGGUAGUAAUAUCCUGGCCCGAAAGGAGGAAAGGAAGUUAACCUGGAUGUGCAGUUAUAGGUGGAUCUUAAAUUUUUACAUUUAAAAAAAUUAGUGGGCUAUGAAUGGGCAAAGAUUAAAAUUUAUUUUGCGCUAUUUUAAGUUCUUUAUAAUAAUAGUCUUUAUCUGAUAUUCUCUAGUUAGUUAGUUCCUAUUCCUGUGUAGCGUGUUUUAUAACAGCGCCUGGAUUGAGACUAGUAAAGCUAUGAGGUGGGGCGCCUCCGGCGUCGGAUUUACAAUUAUAAAUCUUAGUAAAAUCAAUUUUACGUCUUUAGGGCUAUCGGGUCCGGCAUGAAACUCGGUCGGGUGGUACUAUACUCGUAAACAAAUAGCGCCUCAUAUAAAUAAUAAAAACAAAAAUGAUGAUGAUGAUAAAAAAUAUAAACUUACUUAAAUCCUGCACUUUUCCCCGCGGAGCGGGGAAAAGGGCGCAAGCUCGAGCAGGUAAAUUUUUCUUAAAUUGUGCAUUAACGUACAAUCGUUUUUUCUCCGUAAAUUCUAAUUUAUUGCUGGCUUCGCAUAAAAAUAAUAUACAAAUUCAGAGAGAAUUAGAGCAUAGCUUUGAUUUUUAUACUUGGUUUGUAGGAUUUUCAGAAGCUGAAUCUAGUUUUAGCAUAGUCCCUAAACAAGAUAAUAAAGGCGAUGUUAAUAGAUUUUCUUUUAUGUUUGCUAUUGGUUUACAUCUAGAUGAUAUAGAGGCUUUAAAUUAUAUCCAAUCUAAAUUAAAUUUUGGUGUAGUUAGGCUUUUAAAAGAUGAAUGUAAAUUAGUAGUUACUAAAAAAGAGGACAUAGAAAAAUUAAUAUUAAUAUUCGAUAGAUUUAAUCUUAAUACUACUAAACAUUUAGAUUAUUUAGACUUUAAAAAAGCUUUUAAUUUAUAUUUUAGUAGAGAAAAUGUCUUAACAGAUGUUUUGAAAACCCAAAGGCCCCCGGGGCCCCGGCUGCGCCGGGGCCCCAGGGGUCAUUUCCCCCCACCCACUCAGCUGAGCUGAGAGGGUCGCGAAGCUUGGGGGGAAAUAUUAAAUUUAAAAGAUAGUAUGAAUAAAAAACGUACUAAUUUUGAGAUGCCUAUUGAUCAUAAUAUAGUUAUAACUAAAAGUUGAUUAUUAGGUUUAAUAGAGGGUGAAGGGUCAUUUCAGUUAUGAAGAAAUGAUGUAGUAGCUGUUUUGAGUUUAGUUUUAACAGAAAGGCAAUUGCCUGUUUUAGAAAAGAUGAAAGAAUUUUUAUUUAAUGAUUUAGGUUUUGAUCUAUAUUCUAAAUUUAAAUUAGGUUCUUCUUCAGCUAUAACAAUUAACAAUCAAAAAGCUAGAAAGAAUAGUAAAGCAAGUGCUUUAUUAAUUAUUAAAAAUAUUUAUAUUCUUAAUAACUAUUUUGUACCUUAUUUAGAAAACAUGCCAUUUUUAACCAAAAAGGGUAAAGAUUUUAAAGAUUUUAAAUUGAUCUGUAGUUUAUUAUAUAACGGAUCCCAUAAAAAUGACGAGAUAAAAUCUCUUAUUUUAAAAUUAUCAAAUACCAUGAAUAAUUUUAGGUUGUCUACUAAUCCUAAAGAGGUGGAGUUAUUAAAUAAUUCUGAAAUGAAUAUUUUAGUAAAUGCUCCUCAUGUUGUUAAACAUUUGAAUGAUGGUAGACAAAUAGAUUUGAGGACAGAUAAAAUUAUCCAUCAACAUUCUAGUAGUAUUUAUGAAGUAAUUAAGCCUAAUAAAGAGAGGGUUUUAUUAUUAACUUUAUUCGAAGCUGCAGAUAUUGUAGGUGUAGAUAUUAGAACCUUAAGUAAGCUAUUAGCUGAAGUAUCUACUGAUGCAGUAGAAGUUAAGGGUUAUUUUGUUAAAAGAAUAGCUGUGUUUGUACCUAAUGUUCGAAAGGACUAGAAAGGGAGGGGAGCGAAACGCUUGUUGGCUUCGCAUCCCGUAACUUAAAAAAAAAGUAAAGUAAAAUUGAGAUUAAGGUUACAACCGAAUCAGUUUUAUAGAUUGUAGAAAAAUUAGGUGAAAACGGUUAAUGACAUCCUAGUUAAAGACCGUCGGCAUUUGUAAAUGUCGCUACAGACUGGAUCGCCGGGGUAAGGCUGUAAUGCCUAUCCAAAUGUACAGUCGGAUUCCAUAACGAAAUAGUAAAUUCGUAAAAGGGAAGGAUUAUUCAAAAAAAAUAGUUUUGAAUUGCUAUCACACAUUAGUUAGUUAACCUUUAGUUAAUUGGAAUUGGCAGAUGCUGCUUACCUCUAGCUGGACGAGAAGACCCUAUGCAGCUUUACUGUUACUAAUUAUAGGGUAUAGAAGGCAAAUUUUAGAUAUAAGGUAUAUCGAUUGAUGAUUAUGAAAAUCCUUUAUUUUUCUUUUAUAUUUUUGAAUGAAAUCAGGAAUAUAUGCUUAACAGCUAUAUUAGUGAUUUAACCUAGUUCGAAUAAUGGCCUUGGGUGAGGAACUAUUGUUAGGAGACAGUUUAUGCGGGGCACAGACCCCAUAAAGAGUAAAUGGGAGUGUCUAAUAUUUAUAAUGUAAUAUCGUAUUUAUAUGAUAUUUUUUUUUGUUUGUUGUUUUAUGUAGAUAAACUACGUAUUAUCUUAUAUAAUUUUUUGUAUAUAUGCACGACCAUAUAUAUAUUUAAUAAAGUUUAUAUAGCAAUUUUUUGAUAGGUAAGAUUUUCUCUAAAGAGAAAUUAGAUGUACUGAAUAUAUUAUGAUCUGAAUCUAAUAUUUUCUUAGUUAUAAUUUAUUAUAAUAUUGAUUAGUACUUAGAAAGCUCAACGGCUUAAAUCUUGCCUUACUGUUUGAUUAACAACAAAUCUUUCAGUUGCGUAAGCAGGGCGUAGGAUCACAAGAUGCAUAAAGGAAAGAUCUUGUAUUAUAGGAAAAGCUACGCUAGGGAUAACAGGCUAAUUUGCGCAAGAGUGUACAAAAUGAGUGCGCGGUUUGGCACCUCGAUGUCGGCUUAACUUAUCCUCAUGGAUGCAAGAACUAUGUAGGGUACGACUGUUCGUCGAUUAAAAAGUUACAUGAGCUGGGUUAAAUACGUCGUGAGACAGUAUGGUUUCCAUCCUCUAGGGGGAAUUAGAAUAUAAUAAGGAUUAACCUUUGUACGAAAGGAACUGGUAGUAUAUAAUCUUAAAAAUUAUAUAACAUUUAUUAACCUAUGGUUUACCUGUUGUUUAUAUGCCCAAUAUUAAUUUAUAUAUAAUAUAUUAUUAUAUUAUAUGGGAUUAUACUAAACUCACUUAAGUAUCUUUAUAGUAUAGGCACGGCAGGAAAGCUAAGUUAGUUAAAGAUAAGAACUGAAAGCAUAUAGGUUCGAAGCUUACCUUAGGAUAUUUCUUAAAUAUGCGUAAUAUAAUAUUACGAAGAUUUUUAUAGGCUUUAUUUGAAAGAAUUAGAAAUUUUUAAAAAUAAAGUACUAAUUUUAUAAAUUACUAAACAUUAAUAUAUCUUACAUUUUUAAUA
This 5683-nucleotide ribosomal RNA is filed under the name Endoconidiophora resinifera. RNAcentral's name for it is "large subunit ribosomal RNA". The stretch from base 16 to 1721 matches the Rfam family "Bacterial large subunit ribosomal RNA". The record is from RNAcentral. Lineage: Eukaryota; Fungi; Ascomycota; Sordariomycetes; Microascales; Ceratocystidaceae.